AACGAACGCUGGCGGCAGGCUUAACACAUGCAAGUCGAACGCGUGCAGCAAUGCACGAGUGGCUCACGGGUGGGUAACGAGUGGAUAUCUGCCUUUUGGUUCGGAAUAACCCCGGGAAACUGGUGCUAAUACCGGAUGGUUCCUACGGGUUAAAGAUCUAUCUCCAAAAGAUGAGUGCGCGUCCGAUUAGCUGGUUGGUUAGGUAAUGGCUCACCAAGGCGACGAUGGGUAGCUGGUCUGAGAGGACGAUCAGCGACACUGGGGCUGAGACACGGACCAGAAUCCUACGGAAGGGAGCAGAGGGGAACAUAGGAAAAUGGAGGCAGCGCUGAACAAGCCAGGCUGGGUAAGUGAUGAAGGCCGUCGGGAAGUAAAGUGCUUUUGGCGGGGACGAUGAUGACGGUACCCGCUGAAUAAGCCCCGGCUAACUACGUG
Molecule: ribosomal RNA, 435 nt
Filed under: uncultured bacterium
Lineage: Bacteria
Description: partial 16S ribosomal RNA
Rfam family: Bacterial small subunit ribosomal RNA
Source: RNAcentral